CCUACGGGAGGCAGCAGUGAGGAAUAUUGGUCAAUGGACGAGAGUCUGAACCAGCCAAGUAGCGUGAAGGAUGACUGCCCUAUGGGUGGUAAACUUCUUUUAUAAAGGAAUAAAACGAGGCACGUGUGCCUUUUUGCAUGUACUUUAUGAAUAAGGAUCGGCUAACUCCGUGCCAGCAGCCGCGGUAAUACGGAGGAUCCGAGCGUUAUCCGGAUUUAUUGGGUUGAAAGGGAGCGUAGAUGGGUUGUUAAGUCAGUUGUGAAAGUUCGCGGCUCAACCGUAAAAUUGCAUUUGAUACUGGCAGUCUUGAGUGCAGGAGAGGUAGGCGGAAUUCGUGGUGUAGCGGUGAAAUGCUUAGAUAUCACGAAGAACACCGAUGGCGAAGGCAGAUUACUAAACUGUGACUGACAUUGAUGCUCGAAAGUGUGGGUAUCAAACAGGAUUAGAUACCCUUGUAGUC
RNAcentral lists this ribosomal RNA (460 nucleotides) under uncultured bacterium. RNAcentral describes it as "partial 16S ribosomal RNA". It matches the Rfam family "Bacterial small subunit ribosomal RNA", at positions 338 to 795 of the family's 1533-position model. The record is from RNAcentral.